AACGAACGCUGGCGGCAUGCCUAACACAUGCAAGUCGAACGAUACCUUCGGUUCUAGUGGCGCACGGGUGCGUAACGCGUGGGAACCUGCCCUUAGGUUCGGAAUAACUCCCCGAAAGGGGUGCUAAUACCGUAUAAUUUCUUCUGACCAAAGAUUUAUCGCCUUUGGAUGGGCCCGCGUUGGAUUAGCUAGUUGGUAGGGUAAAAGCCUACCAAGGCGACGAUCCAUAGCUGGUCUGAGAGGAUGAUCAGCAACACUGGGACUGAGACACGGCCCAGACUAAUACGGGAGGAAGGAGUGGGGAAUAUUGGACAAGGGGCGAAAGACUGAUCCAGCAAUGCCGCGUGAGUGAUGAAGGCCUUAGGGUUGUAAAGCUCUUUUACCCGGGAUGAUAAUGACAGUACCGGGAGAAUAAGCGCCGGCUAACUCCGUG
Molecule: ribosomal RNA, 433 nt
Filed under: uncultured bacterium
Lineage: Bacteria
Description: partial 16S ribosomal RNA
Rfam family: Bacterial small subunit ribosomal RNA
Source: RNAcentral